This 78-nucleotide transfer RNA is filed under the name Aeromonas phage Ah1. Its description in RNAcentral is "tRNA-Leu". It matches the Rfam family "tRNA". Rfam says of the family: Transfer RNA (tRNA) molecules are approximately 80 nucleotides in length. Lineage: Duplodnaviria; Heunggongvirae; Uroviricota; Caudoviricetes; Pantevenvirales; Straboviridae. The record is from RNAcentral.
GCGUCAAUGAUGGGAAUUGGUCUACCUAGCUGAUUUAGAAUCAGUUGUUUCUCGGUUCGAGUCCGAGUUGGCGCACCA